RNAcentral lists this ribosomal RNA (505 nucleotides) under uncultured bacterium. RNAcentral's name for it is "partial 16S ribosomal RNA". It matches the Rfam family "Bacterial small subunit ribosomal RNA", at positions 30 to 523 of the family's 1533-position model. The record is from RNAcentral.
AUUGAACGCUGGCGGCAGGCCUAACACAUGCAAGUCGAACGGUAGCACAGAGAGCUUGCUCUCGGGUGACGAGUGGCGGACGGGUGAGUAACGUCUGGGAAACUGCCCGAUGGAGGGGGAUAACUACUGGAAACGGUAGCUAAUACCGCAUAACGUCGCAAGACCAAAGUGGGGGACCUUCGGGCCUCACACCAUCGGAUGUGCCCAGAUGGUGAUUAGCUAGUAGGGGGGGUAAUGGCUCACCUAGGCGACGAUCCCUGGCUGGUCUGAGAGGAUGACCAGCCACACUGGAACUUGGACACGGUCCAGACUCCUACGGGAGGCAGCAGUGGGGAAUAUUGCACAAUGGGCGCAAGCCUGAUGCAGCCAUGCCGCGUGUAUGAAGAAGGCCUUCGGGUUGUAAAGUACUUUCAGCGGGGAGGAAGGCGGUGGAGUUAAUAACUUCACCGAUUGACGUUACCCGCAGAAGAAGCACCGGCUAACUCCGUGCCAGCAGCCGCAGUAA